CGCCGACUGCUGUGUGCGUUCGAUUUUGGCAGCUAGCCCGAACCGAUAUGAAUAGACAGGGGCCAUUCAUCCGGCGAAAAAGGUCACGCCUUUAUAGGAAGACCGACUUAAACUGGACGGCCCCACCUGUUGAGCUUACGGAACGUGGCUCAUAGCGCCAAGAACGGCACAGCGGUUUCUCU
Molecule: non-coding RNA, 182 nt
Filed under: Luteolibacter pohnpeiensis
Lineage: Bacteria; Pseudomonadati; Verrucomicrobiota; Verrucomicrobiia; Verrucomicrobiales; Verrucomicrobiaceae
Description: 6S RNA
Rfam family: 6S / SsrS RNA
About the family: E. coli 6S RNA was the first non coding RNA to be sequenced, but its function was unknown until recently.
Source: RNAcentral